RNAcentral lists this ribosomal RNA (497 nucleotides) under uncultured bacterium. Its description in RNAcentral is "partial 16S ribosomal RNA". It matches the Rfam family "Bacterial small subunit ribosomal RNA", at positions 28 to 507 of the family's 1533-position model. The record is from RNAcentral.
GAUGAACGCUGGCGGCGUGCCUAAUACAUGCAAGUCGAGCGAACAGACGAGGAGCUUGCUCCUCUGACGUUAGCGGCGGACGGGUGAGUACAACGUGGAUCACCUACCUAUAAGACUGGGAUAACUUCGGGAAACCGGAGCUAAUACCGGAUAAUAUAUUGAACCGCAUGGUUCAAUAGUGAAAGACGGCUUUGCUGUUACUUAUAGCAGGAUCCGCGCCGCAUUAGCUAGUUGGUAAGGUAACGGCUUACCAAGGCAACGAUGCGGAGCCGACCUGAGAGGGUGAGCGGCCACACUGGAACUGAGACACGGUCCGGACUCCUACGGGAGGCAGCAGUAGGGAAUCUGCCGCAGUGCGCGGAAGCCUGACGGAGCAACGCCGCGUGAGUGAUGAGGGUCUUCGGAGCGAAAAACUCUGUUAUUAGGGAAGAACAAAUGUGUAAGUAACUAUGCACGUCUUGACGGUACCUAAUCGGAAAGCCACGGCUAACUACGUG